UCAAACUUGGUCAUUUAGAGGAAGUAAAAGUCGUAACAAGGUCUCCGUUGGUGAACCAGCGGAGGGAUCAUUAGCGUGUUUUCGCACCCGCUUAUCCCCUGUGAACCCGCGGCGUGGCCGCUGUUGUUGCCUCGGCCGGAUGCCCCAGGGCGGGGCCCUCGGCCUGGGAGACCAGGCGCUGGCCGGCGGCGCGCGAACUUCUGGAUACUGAUCGAGGGGAGCUCUGAGUAACCGAUAUCUGAAUCGAUGGAAAACUUUCAACAACGGAUCUCUUGGUUCUGGCAUCGAUGAAGAACGCAGC
RNAcentral lists this unclassified non-coding RNA (301 nucleotides) under uncultured fungus. RNAcentral describes it as "partial contains small subunit ribosomal RNA, internal transcribed spacer 1, and 5.8S ribosomal RNA". The stretch from base 1 to 73 matches the Rfam family "Eukaryotic small subunit ribosomal RNA", at positions 1759 to 1831 of the family's 1831-position model. The record is from RNAcentral. Lineage: Eukaryota; Fungi.